Molecule: ribosomal RNA, 625 nt
Filed under: uncultured archaeon
Lineage: Archaea
Description: bacterial SSU rRNA
Rfam family: Archaeal small subunit ribosomal RNA
Source: RNAcentral
GGGAAACUGAGGCUAAUACUGGAUACGACUCGAUGCCUGGAAUGGCUCGAGCUGGAAAGGUCCGCCACCACAGGAUGUGGCUGCGGCCGAUUAGGUAGACGGUGGGGUAACGGCCCACCGUGCCUAUAAUCGGUACGGGUCAUGAGAGUGAGUGCCCGGAGAUGGUCUCUGAGACAAGAGUCCAGGCCCUACGGGGCGCAGCAGGCGCGAAACCUUUACACUGCACGACAGUGCGAUAAGGGGACCCCAAGUGCGAGGGCAUAUAGUCCUCGCUUUUCUGGAGGGUAAGGACCUGCAGGAACAAGUGCUGGGCAAGACCGGUGCCAGCCGCCGCGGUAAUACCGGCAGCACGAGUGAUGGCCGAUGUUAUUGGGCCUAAAGCGUCCGUAGCCUGCCAAUCAGGUUCGUCGGGAAAUCCACGCGCUCAACGUGUGGGCGUCCGGCGAAUACCGAUUGGCUUGGGACCGGAGGACCCGAGGGGUACGUCCGGGGUAGGAGUGAAAUCCUGUAAUCCCGGACGGACCACCGGUGGCGAAAGCGCCUCGGGAGGACGGAUCCGACGGUGAGGGACGAAAGCUGGGGUCACGAACCGGAUUAGAUACCCGGGUAGUCCCAGCCGUAAACG